AUGCACCAGGUUGCCCUUUUGAAGGGGAGCCUUGGCGCAGUGGUAAAGCUGCUGCCUUGUGACCAUGAGGUCAUGGGUUCAAGUCCUGGAAACAGCCUCUUACAGAAAUGUAGGGAAAGGCUGCGUACUAUAGACCCAAAGUGGUCGGACCCUUCCCUGGACCCUGCGCAAGCGGGAGCUACAUGCACCAGGUUGCCCUUUAAGAAGGGGAGCCUUGGCGCAGUGGUAAAGCCGCUGCCUUGUGACCAUGAGGUCAUGGGUUCAAGUCCUGGAAACAGCCUCUUACAGAAAUGUAGGGAAAGGCUGCGUACUAUAGACCCAAAGUGGUCGGACCCUUCCCUGAACCCUGCGCAAGCGGGAGCUACAUGCACCAGGUUGCCCUUUUAA
RNAcentral lists this ribosomal RNA (387 nucleotides) under Triticum aestivum (bread wheat). RNAcentral describes it as "partial small subunit ribosomal RNA". Lineage: Eukaryota; Viridiplantae; Streptophyta; Magnoliopsida; Poales; Poaceae. The record is from RNAcentral.